UGAAAAUUGAAUUAUAUUUGCAACGAAAUUAAAUAUCUGUCUUAAAUAAUCAAAUCACGACACGAUUUAAUUUACAAUUUCACAGUGUCUCAUCAGAUAUGUUUCCCCUGGAAACCGCUUAUUGCGUAAUGUUUACAUACGCACAAAUAAUUGAAUUUCGAUAACAAGACAAAUUUAAAUAGAGAUUGACAUUAUUCAUUUUAAUAUUUUCUGUAUACAAUGAUAAUGAACUAGGUAUAUAUAUAUAUAUAUAUACAUAUCAUUUUCGUUAAAUUUAUAACUAAACCGUCUAGGGAAAUAUAGGUUAUUUAAUCUUAGGAUGGUAGCUUCAAAAUCAGGUUUUUAAUUUAAAAAUAUAUUAAACAUUAAAUAAAAAAUACUAUUUUAUUACAUUUUUAUUAUUUUUAAUUUAUUCUUUUAAAAUAUUUUUUUAAAAUAAAAAAUAUAUUUAAUAUAUAUACAUGUAAUAUUAAUAAAAAAUGUAUUAAAAAAAAGAAAAAUUAAAAACACGUUAUAAUGAUAUAUAAUUUAAGAAUAAGUAAUAAAUAAAGAAUAAAUAAAAUUUAGAAUUU
Molecule: long non-coding RNA, 572 nt
Organism: Apis cerana (Asiatic honeybee)
Lineage: Eukaryota; Metazoa; Arthropoda; Insecta; Hymenoptera; Apidae
Source: RefSeq, a predicted model, not a curated record